UACGUAGGUCCCGAGCGUUAUCCGGAUUUAUUGGGCGUAAAGCGAGCGCAGGCGGUUAGAUAAGUCUGAAGUUAAAGGCUGUGGCUUAACCAUAGUACGCUUUGGAAACUGUUUAACUUGAGUGCAGAAGGGGAGAGUGGAAUUCCAUGUGUAGCGGUGAAACGCGUAGAUAUAUGGAGGAACACCGGUGGCGAAAGCGGCUCUCUGGUCUGUAACUGACGCUGAGGCUCGAAAGCGUGGGGAG
This 244-nucleotide ribosomal RNA is filed under the name uncultured Streptococcaceae bacterium. Its description in RNAcentral is "partial 16S ribosomal RNA". It matches the Rfam family "Bacterial small subunit ribosomal RNA", at positions 524 to 768 of the family's 1533-position model. The record is from RNAcentral. Lineage: Bacteria; Bacillati; Bacillota; Bacilli; Lactobacillales; Streptococcaceae.